This 254-nucleotide ribosomal RNA is filed under the name uncultured bacterium. Its description in RNAcentral is "partial 16S ribosomal RNA". It matches the Rfam family "Bacterial small subunit ribosomal RNA", at positions 524 to 776 of the family's 1533-position model. The record is from RNAcentral.
UACGGGGGGAGCAAGCGUUGUUCGGAUUUACUGGGCGUAAAGGGCGCGUAGGCGGCCACCGCAAGUCGGUUGUGAAAUCUCUGGGCUUAACCCAGAAAGGUCAACCGAUACUGCGGGGCUAGAGUGCAGAAGGGGCAACUGGAAUUCUCGGUGUAGCGGUGAAAUGCGUAGAUAUCGAGAGGAACACCUGCGGCGAAGGCGGGUUGCUGGGCUGACACUGACGCUGAAGCGCGAAAGCUAGGGGAGCAAACGGG